ACCACCACAUCCAUCGCUGGCCAUCACUUCCGCCGCCGGUUCCAGCGCCAAUCACUUCUUCCGAUGCCGAUCUUUCUUUUUUUCCUUUCUCCCUUUCUCCCUCAUCCUCUCCUGCCAUCCUCUCCCUUUGUCCGAUUUUGAUCCUCUCUCUCUCUUUUUUUUUUCUCCCUCUCCUUCUCCCCCACCAUCCUUCCCUUUCCUAGAGACCAGAUCGCAUCGAGGGAAGGUGAGGGUGGCGGGGGAAGGAGAGAAGGAAAAUUGC
RNAcentral lists this long non-coding RNA (262 nucleotides) under Coffea arabica (coffee). Its description in RNAcentral is "long non-coding RNA (CARA_LNC001365)". Lineage: Eukaryota; Viridiplantae; Streptophyta; Magnoliopsida; Gentianales; Rubiaceae. The record is from RNAcentral.